UACGUAGGGUGCGAGCGUUAAUCGGAAUUACUGGGCGUAAAGCGUGCGCAGGCGGUUUUGUAAGCCAGAUGUGAAAUCCCCGGGCUCAACCUGGGAAUGGCAUUUGGGACUGCAAGGCUGGAGUUUGGCAGAGGAGACUGGAAUUCCUGGUGUAGCAGUGAAAUGCGUAGAUAUCAGGAGGAAUACCGAUGGCGAAGGCAGGUCUCUGGGCUAUAACUGACGCUCAUGCACGAAAGCGUGGGGAGC
Molecule: ribosomal RNA, 246 nt
Filed under: uncultured bacterium
Lineage: Bacteria
Description: partial 16S ribosomal RNA
Rfam family: Bacterial small subunit ribosomal RNA
Source: RNAcentral